This 12430-nucleotide long non-coding RNA is filed under the name Triticum aestivum (bread wheat). Its description in RNAcentral is "long non-coding RNA (TAES_LNC017982)". Lineage: Eukaryota; Viridiplantae; Streptophyta; Magnoliopsida; Poales; Poaceae. The record is from RNAcentral.
CUAGUGGAGAUGCUCUUAUGAUGUGGUGCGUCGCUGAGAGGGUUAUGCCUCAACAAAAAUCUUUUGGGUUUCAUCUCCAUAAGAGUGGCUGGGUUUUGACGUUGACUCGCCAAGCCUAUCACAACCCUUCUCCUUUAUCCGGGCUUGGGACCGGCUAUGUCGAGACAACAUAGGCGGAGUUACGAGGUAGGAUGACAGGCUAUGUUGAAUAAAUUUAGCAUCAAGUAUUUCAUGUCCAUACUUAAAUAAUGCUGUUUAGUACUUUAGUGCAUAAUUUGUAAUAUACAUUGAGUUAUACAAUUAUAAUUAUUCGAGUCCAUACUAUACAUGUCUCAUCAUGUUUCUGUUUAGUACCCUUUCUAGUUUUUCAAAUCUUGAAUGAUAAAUAUAAUUGCUUUAUAAAGUAAAUACUGGUAUAUAGGACAGCGUUUUGUGGCAGUAAUUUUUUGGGUCAAAUUUAGUCAUGGAGCGAUAGCCACUAUCUAAAACCUUGUGAUCCUAGUAGUAAGCUGGUGGUUGUAUAAAACAAGGUAGCUACUAUUUUUUUAGGUUUCGAUUAGUAUGCCACAUACCAGGGUCUAAUGUGCGAUAGAAAAUUAACCUAGUUAAGUGGUGAAAAUUUCCGCUGAAAAAAAAUGUUUAAACAAUGACCAUUUCACUUUAUACAAACACCGCCCCGCUUCCGAAGGAAUUUGGAAUCCUCAUGUGAGUAGUAGGAUUAGUCUAUAAUUUUUGUAGUUCAUCUCUGUAUGUGCUAUUAGGAUUAGGAUACGAGUCAAAAUUCCCAGUAUCUCUACCCCGACUCUUUAUCUGAUGUGCUACAUGCUCCUCCAAAAAUUUGCUCUGCUUACCGUGAUUCAGUAGGUUUGAACCGCCCUCAAGCUCCACCUACUCGCUGAUUCACUGGUACCAUGUCUUUCUUCCAAUAAAUCGCACCUACUCUCUUGUACAAUAGCUAGAGCUUGCAAACUCAUUUGCAAUUUUGCAUAUAGAUCCAAUCACCCAAGUGGUAGCAUGCUUUUAUUAGCCAUGAUUUCUCUAUUGGACCUCCUAUUGGUUUAUUUAGUUUUGGCGGGCAAAUUUCUUGAAUCUUCUCCCUCUCACUUGCUACGAGUGCAAAUAUAUAUACACUAGUAUGGGCUUAUGGGCCUAAAACCCACAUACACCCACACACACAUAUAGCCCAGCACCCCUUACGAUUGGCGAUAGCUAUCUAAUGCCCCUAUCUUGUUACAUGCCAACAAACACUCUUCACUAACUAAUCACCUUGUCAACCAAUCUGCUAUUUGUUCUCUAGAGGUUACAUGGCUUGACUUCAAUGUGCCUUCUAGACGCUGUUGAUGAAGGAUUGAUCUAUUUACACAUGCUUUGUUCGGUCAUGUCAAACUGAAUUGUUUGUAUUAUUAAUGGCCGACUUGUUAUUUGGUAGGUGCUCUUUUUUCAAACCGUUAGUCUCAUCGAACCGCACAUCUACAGUUUAAACCACUUUGUAGUGAAAGAGGUUGAAGACUCUGUAGGUGUGUGAAUCCUUUUUGUAGCCAAGCAUAAAACCCUAUGUGCUUUCGGUGCAAAUUUGGAAGUGUGAUGUGGAUCCUUUAUCCAACACCUAGCACCGAAGACUUUGAAAUAACUUACAUUUGGCUUCUUACCAGUGAUUAGCUCAUAUGAUAUUUUCUUGAAGAACUUGUGAUGAUAAGCUCUGUUGAUGAUGUGGCAUGCAGUGCCAAUGGCUUCAGGCCACCACUUUCGUGGUGUCUUGUAUUCGUCAAGCAUCCUGCGUGCCAUCUCAAUAAGAGUCAUGUUCUUGCGCUCCACGACGCCAUUCUGCUGUGGGGUGUAUGGAGCAGAUAGCUCAUGAGUGAUGCCAAGAGUGUCAAGAUAAGUGUCAAACCCAAUGUUCUUGAACUCAGUGCCGUUAUCACUCCGAAUGUGCUUGAUCUUGACGCCAUAGUUGGUCAUAGCAUGGUUGGCGAAUUUUCUGAAGACAUCCUGCACUUCAGUCUUAUACAGGAUUAUGUGCACCCAAGUGUAUUGAGAAUAAUCAUCAACAAUCACGAAGCCAUAAAGAUGUGCAGAAGUAGUAAGGGUAGAGUAGUGAGUAGGGCCAAAUAAGUCCAUGUGUAGCAGCUCGAAGUGACGCGUAGUCGUCAUUAUUGUCUUCGAGGGAUGCUUGGGCCUAGUCAUCUUCCCAGCUCCAGAGGCUCCACAUAGAUGAUCCUUCUUGAACUUGACGCCCUCCAUCCCUAUGAUGUGCUGUUUCUUCACAAGGGUGUGCAAGUUCCUCAUGUUCGCAUGUCCUAGCCUUCGAUGCCAAAGCAAACACUUUGAUGCUUUCGCUAGAAGACAUACGGCAAACUAUGGUUCUGCUGAGAAAUCUACCAUGUACAAGUGACCUCUUCGAUAACCUUCGAAGACUUGAGAUUUGUCAGAAGCCAUUAGCACAAGACAUCGAUAUUUUCCAAAGAUGACAAAUCAUAUCAAGAUCACAAAGCAUUGAGACUGGCAUUAGGUUGUAUCCAAGGGAUUCAACAAGGAUCACUUUAUCCAUGUGUUGAUUUUUUGAGAUGGCAACCCUACCUAGACCCAAUACCUUGAUUUUCCCAGUGUUAGCGGAUGUGAUAUGACUUUUUGAAGACGGUUGAAGAGUAGAAUCCAUGAGAAGACUUCGGUUACCAGUCAUGUGGUUAGUGCAGCCACUGUCCAGAAUCCAUUCAGUAGCUUUCGAAGAUGUACCCUACAGUGCAGUUAGUAGGAUAAUCUUCACAAAGACUGUUGUGAAGAACAAACAUGUAUCAAUAAAGGUGUUCUGUAUAGGUAAGUUUUGUGGAGGAUAUGAUAGGACGAUCAUCAAGAAACCCAUGGACGAAAUAAAUGGUAAGACCAUUUUGACAUUUUAUCUUGCGUCCAACAAGAUUUUUCAGGUCUCGAGCAUGAAGUCCAAUGGUUUUCGGCUGGAGUCCUGUUCUUGCACAAAGGAUUAGCUUUUUGGUCCAUAGCAGAUGUGAAGUACUGUCAUAGACUUCCAAACAUCAAUUGGGUAUAAAUUCGAGAUGCUUUUAUGAUAAGUGGAGUAUGGGAAGAAAAACAUAGUAAGCCCAUUGGGGCAUUUUAUCUUGCGCCCCACAAGUUUCAUCAGGUCUCAAGCAUUGUCUUCGGCCAAUGCUUUUCGGCUGGAGACCCAAUCCUGCAAGAGAAGUUAAUUCUAAUUAACCACCCACAUUUGAAGGGGUGGCUUAGAAGCAAUGAGUCUAAGUGCAGCAUCUGAGAAUUUUGGCUUUGAACCCUAGCAAAUAGUCUCGCAGGGGGUGUAUAGUACUCAUAUAAUAAGCAGAAAAAUUCUUUGAUUUGUGAACAUAAUGGUUCGAAGAAUAGUGCUCAUAUUCAUGAGCUUGAUCAUUGUUUCCCUGCAAAACAUUGGCGUUAGGAUGGCCAUAAGUGGUUCUCUCUCUGUAUGAAGAUUUUGGACCAUUUGAAGCCUUUAGUCUGGGGUUUGUCUUCUUCCCUAGUGGUGUCAUGAUGUCAUUCACAGGAAGCUUUUCAAGAAGACUUUUGGGAACCCAGAUCUUCUUCAUAGGAGAACCAUUCCUGCAGUUAGUACCAAUAAACCUGGCAAACAGGGUUAGCACAGUUAUAGCCAGGUACUGUAGAUGGAUCCACUGGAGGUUCCUUUGCAGCAACCCAUGUGGUUUUGGGGUAUUACUCAGGUGUACGGUAUUAGCCAUCAACAUUCAUGUUCCUUUCGAAACCAACACCCUCUUUCCUAGGGUUUCGGUUCAAGAUCUGCUUCUUGAGGACAUCACAAAAUGUCUGAUGCCCUUUGAGGCUUUUGUACAUGCCUGUUUCAAGCAAUGUCUUCAACCUAGCAUUAUCAUCAGCAAUAGUAGUGGUUUCCUCAGAUGAGGGUUAGUGUCCACAUCCGCAGUUGAAGAUAUUGUAUUGUCUGAAGCAUUUGAACAUUCAGCAGUAGAGAUAGCAUUAUCACACUCAAGACAUUUUAAGCAAAAUGGCACAAACUCUUCCUGAGCGGAACUGAUCUGUUGAACGAGUAGUGAAUCGUUAUCAGUUCGAAAAUCAUCAUGAGACGCUCUCAAUUUCUCUAGAUCUUGCUUCCUUUGAAGAUAACUGUAGGAAAGCUUCUCAUGAUUAACUGAGAGGGUUUCAUGACGACUUUGAAGAUCCUCAUACUUAAUUCGAAGAUUUUUUAUGUCUUCAAUUAAGAAUUGAGUGCGAUUCAUUUCCUCGUCCAGCAGAUCAUCGCUUUUAUCUAACAGUUUUUGGAUCUUUUCCAUAACAGUUUGUUGUUUAGUUGCAAUUUUAGUCAGUGUCUUAUAGCUGGGUUUGGAUUCACACUCAAGAGUCAUCUUCGCUGGAGGUUUCAAAGUCGGCAGCGCGGGAUGUUACCUUAGCGCCUUUUGCCAUAAAGCAGUAGGCAGGAGCAGAGUCGUCGUCAUCAUUGACUUUAGUGUCGGUGACAUAACCAUUGUCUUCCAUACUGAAGAUGGACUUGGCGACGAAAGCCGAAGCUAAAGCCAGGCUUGCCAGCCUGAAUCAGACUCCUCCUCUGACUCCACCUCUGUCUCCUCUGAAUCCAUUUCCUUGCCGAUGAAUGUACGAGCUUUGCCAGAUGAACUCUUCUUGUGGGAUGAAGACUUCGAAGAAGACUCUAAGAAUUUCUUCUUCUUUUUGUCAGUCAUAUUCCUUGCUCUUCUUCUUUUUCUUGGCUUCUUUUUCCCAUUGAGGAUUCUCAGAUAUGUAGAGUCUUGGGUUGAGGUCUCAACAUUCUUCGAGUUGUAUUUUGAAGACUUUUCGAAGCAAUUUUUCUCGGAGAACUUCUGGAACUUCUUCACAAGCAUUGCAAGUUCCUUGCCAAAGUCUUCAGGGCCACUUGAACUGCAGUCAGAGUCUUUAGAUGAAGAUACAACCUUUGCCUUCAAAGCACGGGAUCGCCCAUAGUUAGGGCCAUAGAUAUCUCUCUUCUCAAAUAGCUGGAAUUCAUGAGUAUUGAGGCUCUCUAGAAUAUCAGUAGGAUCCAGUUGCUUAAAGUUUGGACGUUCUUGGAUCAUCAAUGAUAGGGUGUCAAACGAGCUGUCAAGAGAUCUCAAUAGCUUCUUCACAACUUCAUGCUUGUGAUUUCAGUGGCGCCGAGUGCAUGAAGCUCAUUGGUGAUAUCAGUAAGACGAUCGAUGGUAAGCUGGACAUUUUCGUUGUCAAGCCUCUUGAAGCAGUUGAAGAGACUGCGAAGAACAUCGAUUCUUGAGUCUCUCUGAGAUGAGACGCCUUCGUUGACUUUGGAGAGCCAGUCCCAGACUAGCUUCGCAGACUCCAGGGCACUCACGCGACCAUACUGCCCCUUGGUCAGAUGACCACAUAUGAUGUUUUUGGCAGUCGAGUCAAGUUGCGCGAACCUCUUCACAUCAGCAGCGGUGACACCUUCACCGACCUUGAGAACUCCAGUCCUGACGACCUUUCGGAGGUCGUUGUCAAUGGCUUGAAGAUGCAUGCGCAUCUUAUUCUUUCAGUAAAGACAGGGCACGCAGCGGAGACCUUGAUUAUCCCUACAGUCGACAUAGCUAAAACUGCAGGUGGUUAAACCGAAUCACACAGAACAAGGGAGCACCUUGUUUUGAUACCAAUUGAAAGUGCUAGUUAUCGACUAGGGGCGGGGGGUGAAUAGGCGAUUUUUAUGAAAGACUUCAAAAACAGACAAUGUCUACGAAGGUAGCGGAAGUAAUACAGGAUCUAACAACACUGAUGAUUAAGAUGAGCAGGCAUGGCAGGUGUAGACCUCAUACAUGGAUGCAUGCAUUGAAGAUAAACACAAGAAGCAUGAAGAUAAAUGAGCAAACAGAUGAAUGGCUUCAGAGAAUAUCUUCAAACACAGACAAGCAAGCAAAGGAUUCACAGAGUGAUGCAGUAAGUAAAAGGGAGAGAGGAUGGAACAAGUAGCUCGGGGAGGACAAUGAUUUGUUUGACCAUUUCCAACUGCUGUGACAGUUGUAUGCCUGGUUAGGGAGGCUGAGAUUGAACUCAAAAGACCUUGUCUUCACCUUAUUUCCCUUGAGCUAAGGUCACCUAGACCUCACCCAAUCACUUAGGUAAGUCUUCAAGGUAGACUUCCAAACCUUUUCGUUCACCGGCAAUCCACAAUGGCUCUUGGAUGCUCAGAACACGACGCCUAACCGACUAGAAGAUCAUAGUCUUCAAGUGUAAUAAGUCUUCAGUUCACUCAGAACAGAAUGUCUUCAGUGAUGCUCAAUCACUUUGAGCUCUGGGUGUUUUGGGUUUGUCCUUGCAAGGAUUCUCUCUCAAAGGCUUAGGAGGAAGGUUGCUCUCAAACGACAAAAACCGUGUACUUCUCUCUAAGCAGCUACCAACUCAUGGUGGAGGGGGGUGGCUAUUUAUAGCCAGGGGGCAACCCGACAUGAUUUGUCCGAAAUGACCCUGGGUCAUUGGGGAACUAACACGUGUCCAAUGGCCGGAAUUUGAACCCACGCGGCAACUUGACUUGGGAUACAAGUAAAGCUGACUCAUCCAACACAGGAUAAUAUUUUCUCUCAUUUGUCUUUGCACGAAGACAUAGGAUUUUAGGUUGAGCAUCACGUCAGAUUCUGACUUCGUUUACCUCUACCCCACUUGACAGUUCGGUGGUUCCGAUGACUUAAGAAUUAAGAAAAUGAAACUACCAAAAGACUACGUCUUCGUGCUUCAUUGUCUUCAAUGAAUGACUUCAUGAACCAUUAUCUUCAACAUGAAUGUCUUCGUGAACCACCUUUGCCUUCAGUGUCUUCAUACAUUUUUAGGGGUCAUCUUCGAUGGGUAAACCGAAUCAAUAGGGACUUCUAUCUGUGUUCUCCUGUGAAUGUCACAAACGCAUUAGUCCCACAACCAAGUUUGUCUUCAAUACUUCAAAACCAACAAAAGGUGGCACUCGAUGCACUUACAGAAACAUAAAUGAUAAGUGACUGUAGUGCUUCUACAAAUUCAUUCAUACGAUGCCUGUUCAGGAGUCAGGACAGAAGUGGAUUGGGUAUAUAUAUCAUCGUGAUGUCGAGUGUGAAAUGUUGUAGAUCUAAGACAUAAUAAAAUCAUCACUUCCUUAGCCGUAAACCAAAUAAAUCACAGAACAUAUCGGAAUCAUCACCAUGAACCAGCACAAGAUUGAUAAGUGGCCAUAUCAAGAUCAUACCUUUAACCCAAGAAUCAAUCAUGACCAGUAGUGACUUAGUGCAGCAGCCCAGUUUUGUGAAUGAUAUAGAAGACGUGGUGGUUUCUUGUAGCUCCGGCAAUGGGCUACCAAAGCCGUAAAUUGACCCGAGCUACAUAUGGAUGGGAGGAACCUGCAUAGCCGAACCUGCCUAUGGAAUCUCUGCAAAACAGAGUACACAGUGGAGCCAUGCAGCCUGAAGUCACCAUAGGGAAGAUUGUAUCAAACAAUUUGAUCCAAAUAAAUUAAGAAUCUUCUGCUUGUGAAUGUUCAAUCCCAUCCAUGUGUGCAAGACAGACUACAUGAGAGGCAGAGACUAACAAUGUUUCUAACUGAAAUAAGCUCCAUUAUCAUAAUAUCAUUAGACAAGCACUACGAUGAUCAGUAACAAAGAUAAAUCACCAAAUGAAUCAGCAAUAUUCUAGAGCUAGCAGAGAGCUUACAGCCCAAGCAUACGCGAAACCACGCAAGGAAGAUGCCCACAUCCAUAUCUCGACAACGGAGUCGAUCCGUCACUCGGAGAGCUUAUAACCCAAGCAUACAAUAUUUGAUCUGGUCGCUCCCCGACAGCAAGUCGAUCUCAUGCAUUCUCAUAGUCGUAGGUGGCCGGCGCUUGAUCCUCGUCCCACAUCACGGCGCCACCAUCCUCAUAUGUCCUUACCGGGGCUGGUAGAUCCUGUCGAUUCACAGGCACACAACAAUCCCGAUUAGGUGAGAUUCGACCAGCAGCUGGGCAAACAAAGGAAUAAAUAUAUCAAACUUUAUCAAGGAGAAGGGUGAGUCAUCAAGAGGAGGGGAAUGAUUAGUGGAGGAAGCAUGCACAUGGAUCCGCCUCUACCGUUCUUGGUCGAGGCCGCUGCCGUCCUUCGUCGAGCAGAGGCGAAUCGAAGACAAACUGGGGCCAAGGGGAGGGCCAGCAGGGAAGACCAGUGAAGCAGGAGCACGCCUGGGCAGGUCACCGCUGUCAUGGUAGGGCAUCACGGGAAGGGUGUCGGCGCGGGCAAACGAUGGCGGCGGUAGCGGCGGCAGCGGCGGCAGCGUGAGUUUUUGUUUUGCGCUAAGGUUUUCUUUGCGGGGACAUUUAGCGCUGAGUGGUUGCGGACACGGGACAGGGAUAUUUCUUCUACCGGUGGAGCACGGUCAGCCUGCGGUAAUUGCUAGGUGCACACUCUCAGGAUUAGAUUAAUCCUGACGGUUAAGAUUUGCCUAAGAGAGAUGAACUGGUGGUGCUGUUCUAGCUGUGUACGUUUGCUGGGGUGUGUUUAAGAAAGAAAAAGUUUACUCUUUUAUUAGUAGAGAAAUUGGGCCAGUAAAAGUACCUUUUCAGCCAGUGAUAUGUUCUAAUUCCAGAGUGACCCUCAAGUGCAGAAGUGUGAUAUGUAUGCAGGAGUGUUUGACUAAAGGAAUUUGCAGUUCCAUUGUAUAACCUGGUGUUGUAUUUGAGCACACCAUCAUUUGGGGAGAACUUGUCUUGAUCAAAAACAUCUUGUGCGACUUUGGUCAAUAGUUUGUAGUAGUCAGCAUGCCCAACAUAACUGUUUUUAACAUCAGUGAGCAGUGCCCCUAGUGUGUCUUAAAUGUAGUUUUGGGGAUGUCUGGUGUGGCCAUUCUUAUUUGGUGAUAGCCUCACCUUAAAUCGAAUUUGCUAAAGAAUUUUGCUCCGUAUAGUUCAUCCAGUAAAUCCUCCAUAAGAGGCAUGGGGAAUUUGUUUUUAAAACGCAGUGGAAAACUCUCUGUAAUUCACACAUAAUCUCCACCCCCAUCUUUUUUUAUGACCAUUACCGCUGAAGAGGAAUAGGGACUGAAACUGAGUUGCAGUUCUUUCUUUAUAAUCAUAGCACUUCCUGUAGCCAAUCUGGCCGACAAGUUGAGAGGCCAUCCAGGAGUAACAAGUGCCCCACUCGUGACAAUGAAUCUACGGCACUAUUGUCCACCCCUGAUUUGUAUUUGAAACUGAACUGCAGCCCCACAAGUUUUGCCUGUUUUUGCGCUGAAGAUCUGAACCCAACUGUUGUUCAGUCAGACUACACAGGUUCUUAUGAUAUGUAUAGAUGACAAACGGCCCUCUUUGUAAAUAUUGCCUCCACUUAUCGACAACCAUAAUUAGUGCAAGAAAUUCCUUGUCGUAGAUGGAUAAUUUCUGAUUCAUAAAUCCUAAUGCUUUGCUCAUAUAAGCAAUGGGGUGCUCAUUCUGCAUCAGCACAGCACCCACCCGUGACCCCUAUUGGGCAAGCGUCUGUUUCAAUGGCAAAUGGCAGCUUGAAAUUUGGGAAGGCCAAAGACUGGGGUACGGGUCAUCACUUGUUUUAAGAGCUCAAAUGCUGAUGUAGCAUGUUCAGACCAGACAAACCCCUUCUUAGUCAGCAGCUGUGUCAGGGGUUUCGUGAUGAUACCAUAAUUCCGAUACCAUAAUUCCAAACAAACUUGCGGUAGUACCCUGUUAAUCCGAGAAACCCUCGCAAUUCUGUAGCAUUGGUGGGUACGGGCCAUUUCUUCGGCUGUUUUUUUUGGACCUAUAGCCACCCCAGUGUCUGAAAUAAUAUGGCCAAGAUACUGAAUGUUGCUUUGCCGAAGGAGUACUUGGACAGUUUUGCAAAGAACUUGUUUGCACGGAGCUGCUCGAGCACAAGGCGUAGGUUUUCCAGAUGAGCUUCCCAUGAUGCAUUGUACACCAGGAUGUCGUCCAAGAACACUAUCACAAUUUGUGAAGGAAAAGAGCAAAGACUGAGUUCAUGACGCACUGGAACGUCGCUGGUGCAUUCGUAAGACCGAAGUGCAUCACAUGGAACUGAAAAUGCACGUGGUGUGUUUUGAAAGCCGUCUCUGGUUCAUCUUCAGGGCGCAUUCAAAUCUGAUGAUAGCCUGCACGAAGAUCUAGCUUUGAAAAGAACCUUGUGCGUGCGAGCUCAUCGAGUAAUUCAUCCACCAUCAGAGAGGUACACAUCUCCAUUAGAGAAGGGGUUUGUGACGAUUCACCAACUCUAGUAUGCAGUGUAUUGUGCCCUUUAUGUAGGUGAACACACUAGGUGCCUGUGUGCCACAUUUAUACAUCUGGUCCGUACACACAAGCACACAUCUUCUACCCCGUCGCUUCAGGUAUGCAUCUUUCCUCUGUUUUAAUGCUAGCUCGUCUCCACCUUAAUACACCCCCACCCCCUCCCUCCCAUGCGUGCUUCUCUCCCAUGGCACUGUGCUCUGGCGAAUGGAGGAGAGAAGCCUCCAGGCAUGUAUCGGCCGCUGCACAGGAGCUGCAAUGUGCUGGCAGCCAUGUCUCUAUCGUUGUCGUCACAUGGACAGCCGUGGCAACAGAGGAGAGCUGCAGCGGCGUCUAGCCUGUAAUAGCUGUUGCAUCAAUUCCAUUUUUUGGGUUCACUUGAGAUCGACGAAUCGGAAGGAAACUUGAGAUCGAUUAGAGUUCGGUCAAUCGGACAUCAAUUUCCGAUCAAACCGAGCGAAUUCGUACUCCGAUCUAGAUCUGGGAGCAUAGCAAACAUAAUACUAGUUAAAGAAGACGCACAUUGCUUAAACAAAUGGAAUGAAUAGUUUUCUAACUGGGGCCAUAGCGAACAUAAAACUAUCCUAACACCAUUUUCUUGUUUUGCACUUUCUUCCGUAAAUAGAUGUGUAGGACAUGGGCGCAGUCUCCACCAUGCAACGUGGACCAUUAAUUUCCGUACAAGUAUAUCAGUAGAAGUAAUAUGGAAUACUACCUCCGUCCCAAAUUAUAAGACAUAAGUGUCUUUUUUUUCUCGAGAAAACGCAAGAGAGCUUGCAUUUCAUUGCUUUGGAAAGAGAGAGGGUUUUAGUUACAAUCCUCCAAGGAGGGAAUUAUAGUGCCCAAAGGCGCAUCAGUGAACGUCCCAAGUUUGCGGUACGAUGGCUUGUAGCCCGAGGGUGCCGGCUCUGGCUCGGAGGGCGGCCUCGUCCUUGAUCUUCGUGAGUAGGUAGGUUGCCGAGGGCCGUCCUCUGUCGAAGACGCAGUCAUUACGAUGCUUCCCGAUCAUCCAUUGGACGAGGAGGGUCGUGGAGGCGAGGCCCUUGCGCAUGGGUUUGGGGGUGUGCUGCCGCGCCAUGUGCCACCAGUCAUUGAGAGAGGUCUCGUUGUCGGGCGGGGCGCAGGGGAGCCGGAGCCAAUACAACACCUCGUGCUAGAUCUGCCGGGCAAAGGGGCAACCUAGGAUGAGGUGGUGCAUGGUCUCGAGGGCCUGGUUGCAGAGGGGGCAUCGCGCAGGGUGUUGCAGGCCGCGGCGGGCGAGGCGGUCGGCCGUCCAACAUCUGUCCAGGCGGGCGAGCCAGUGGAAGAAUCGGACGCGCGGGGGUGCCCAGUUUUUCCAUGUGAGCUUCCAUGGGUUGCAGUCGGUGGAGCCAUUGAAGGUGGUGAUGUAGGCCGAUUUGGCGGAGCAGACGCCGCGGGGGCUCCACUUCCAUGAGAGGCUGUCUGGCUCGGCGGAGAGGGUUGUGUUGCUGACUGCGUGCCAGAGCUGUAAGUAUUGCCUGAUCUCGUGGAUGCCAAUCGUGCCGUGUAUGUCCCGUGCCCCUUGGUUGGCCUGUAAUCCGUCGGCGACGGUCCUGAGCUUGCGGCGGCGCUUGGGAAUGCAAGCGUAUAGUAGCGGCGCGAUCUCGCCGACGGAGCGCCCGUCGAUCCAGCGGUCUUCCCAGAACAGGGCCGCCGCGCCAUUACCGAUUUGUAUGGUGGUGGAUGCGAAGAAGAAUGCACGCUCCUAUUUAUGUCUUAUAAUUUGGGACCGAGGAAGUAUUAUAUUAUGGAACUACUCUUGUUUAUAAACUUAACCUAAUCUUUAUCUUAUGUAUGAUGAGUCAAGUUUAGAAACAUAUGAAUUUGAUGGACAGAUCUAGUUUUGGUUAGUCAUUCACAUUUUAUGAUAAUGUGUAGUACUAACGUAUUUGGCUUCUGAGCAGAGUUCCAAGAAUGUUUUGGAAGGCAACUUGAAGACUUUGGUUCCGUUAUUUUAGAAUCACGUGGACGACAGGUGCUGCACACUUCGGUGUAAAGAGGUGUCUGAAAAACUGCGAGGGAGGUGGUUGUUCGGGGCGUCAUAUAUAACCAUAUUCCAGAAUGGUUAGGCAGAUGCUCAGUAUGCUACCAAUACAUUGUAGCGACACCAGCAAUUGUACUUCUGUAGCAUGUAGCGACACCAGCAAUUGUACUUCUGUAGCAUGCCAAAAUAGUAAAUAAGAACAUAACAACUUUGUUCUCUUGGAAAC